RNAcentral lists this ribosomal RNA (253 nucleotides) under uncultured bacterium. RNAcentral's name for it is "partial 16S ribosomal RNA". It matches the Rfam family "Bacterial small subunit ribosomal RNA", at positions 524 to 776 of the family's 1533-position model. The record is from RNAcentral.
UACAGGGGGGGCAAGCGUUGUUCGGAAUUACUGGGCGUAAAGGGCUUGUAGGUGGCCAACUAAGUCAGACGUGAAAUCCCUCAGCUUAACUGGGGAACUGCGUCUGAUACUGGAUGGCUAGAGUUUGGGAGGGGGAUGCGGAAUUCCAGGUGUAGCGGUGAAAUGCGUAGAUAUCUGGAGGAACACCGGUGGCGAAGGCGGCAUCCUGGACCAACACUGACACUGAGGAGCGAAAGCGUGGGGAGCAAACAGG